RNAcentral lists this ribosomal RNA (1107 nucleotides) under Triticum aestivum (bread wheat). RNAcentral describes it as "partial small subunit ribosomal RNA". Lineage: Eukaryota; Viridiplantae; Streptophyta; Magnoliopsida; Poales; Poaceae. The record is from RNAcentral.
AUGGCGACGGCCUUCUCUGUCACCACCACGUCCCUGAGCGCCGUCGUCGCCGCCUUCCCGGCCCGGCGCCCGAAUCCAUUCCUCGUGCUCCUCUCCUCGGCGGCGCGCCCCCAUCUUCGUCUUGGCGCCGCCCGCCCAACGCGCCUCCCGGUCCCACUCGCCGCCUCCUUCUCCGAGGAUCCACGUGGCUAUGGGUUGGAAAGGCCUCCCCAUGAUGUUGGGUCUUCUUCAUUCCGCAUGUACGUGGGCAACCUGUCAUGGCGCCUAGAUGACUCCAGGUUGGCACAACUAUUCAGCGAGCACGGCACCGUGGUCUUCGCUAAGAUCAUGCGUGACUUCCAAACCGGGCGCUCAAAGGGAUUCGGCUUUGUAGCAAUGGCAUCACAGGAGGAACGCGAGGAGGCCAUCGCGGCCCUCAACGGCCAGAUAUUGGAGGGGCUUGCCCUACGAGUGAGUGCCGCGGAGGAGCCAGACGUGACUGUAAGCAAGGCGGCUCCAGGAGGCGCCCGGGUGGAAAGCCCUCCGCCCCGUCAUGUUGCUGAGCCUUCAUUUCGGUUGCACGUGAGCAACCUGUCAUCGAGAGUGGAUGACUCUAGGCUGGCACAAAUGUUCAGCCAGCACGGCAAAGUGGCCUAUACUAAGGUCAUCCGUGAUUUCCGUAGCGGGCGCUCGAAGGGAUUCGGUUUCGUAGAGAUGUCUUCGCGGGGGGAAAUGGACAACGCCAUCACAGCCCUCCAUGGACAGAGCUUGGAGGGGCGUGCCAUACGAGUGAGUGCCGCGGAGGUGCCAGGCAUGGCCGUAAGCAAGGCGGCUCCAGGGGUAGAAAGUCCUCCCCGUCAUGUUGUUGGACCUUCGUUCCGGUUGCACGUGAACAACCUGUCGUUGAACAUGGACGACUCUAGGCUUGCUCAGAUGUUCAGCCAGCACGGCAAAGUGGCCUAUGCUAAGGUUAUUCGUGAUAUCCAUAGCGAGCGCUCAAAGGGAUUCGGUUUCGUAGAGAUGGCAUCGCAGGAGGAUAUGGACAAUGCCAUCACAGCCCUCCACGGACAGAGCUUGGAGGGGCAUGUCAUACGAGUGAGUGCCGUGGAGGAGCAGUCGUCAUCAUGA